Long non-coding RNA from Spodoptera frugiperda (fall armyworm), 1618 nucleotides. RefSeq lists it as uncharacterized. The record is from RefSeq and is a predicted model, not a curated record. NCBI's taxonomy places the organism in Eukaryota, Metazoa, Arthropoda, Insecta, Lepidoptera, Noctuidae. The transcript has 2 exons.
UCUUACCCCGCAUACCAAAUUUCAAAGAAAUUGAGUUUCUCAAAGUUUAGAUUUAUCCACAAGCAUUUUUGAAGUGGCUGCAUACGUGAGUUCUUUAUUAUUUAUUUGCUGCAUGGCUAAUUCCAGCGCUUCUUUUGUAUAAGAAGUGGCCCGCGAAGAGGUUCGGGAGUAUUUACGUGGCAACUGAAGAUUGGAAAAUCAGCCCUAAGUAAUUAUUUAAAAUUAAAUUAAAAUCAUUUGUAACAAAAGUUUGACAAUCACUGCCCAUUUUUGAAUAGGGAUAUUUUUGUCUGAUCUUUACCCGACAUGGGUAACACCGGAUUUCAGCCUACAGAGGUAGUAGACAAAUCUGGAUUAGUUUUAUCAUAUUAUCAUUGCUCAAAACUUAGGUAAACUUGCGUAAUUCGUACCUGCGCCUAAAUCGUACCUCGUCUAUAUCUCGGAUUGGGUAAUAGUUACCAGCGCUUCUGGUGGCAUAAAAUGUCAAUAAUAGUCGGCCAUAUUGCCAUGUGACAAAUAAACACCUGUUAUGUUGCUCCCGACUAAAAUAUUAAACAGGGCAACAUGAACAUCAUCAACAUUUUAGCUCGAAAUAAAAAUAGAAGAAACCAAGAAGAAGACCAUAUCAAAGAAGCUAAAUUUAAAGAAAACGAAAACACCUCAAAAAGGAAACAAGAAAAAGAAACAAGAACAAGAUGAAAAUGACAGUUGGUAUUGCAAAAUAUGUCAAGAAGACGUAAAAGAAAACAUGAUUAAAUGCAGUAAUUGUGAAGUAUGGGUACAUGAGCUAUGUGCAGGAACAACUAAAAAAAAAUGUUAUUAUUGCGAUGACUGUCAGGAUUUGGCAAAGACCAUCCGCUGUAUUAAUAAGAAUUAAUCUAGGUACAUUAAGAUUAAGAAAAAAAGGAGAAGAUUAUUAAGAUUGUGAUUUUUAAGACUGUAAACCAAUGAUAGGAUCUCAAAGUACGAUUUAAGAAUAUACUAGUACGAUUUAAGAUGAAUGGUCUUAAAUCGUACUUUUUUUAAGUUUUUGAAAAUUGUUUAUUUUUUAGAAGUUUACAAGAUUUAUGAUAUUUUUUGUUUAAAUACUAAUAGAACAUUAGUGAAAUUAUAAUUACAUAAUAUAAAUAACUGUGUAUCAUUGUUCAUUUCCAAAAUUUUUGAGGUUCUCCUUAAGUGGUACGAAUUGGGCAAGUUUACCCUAUUUAGGCAAAAACAUGUCAAAAUAAGCUAUACUUUUGCUAAAAUAUGCAAAUAAAAAUGUAGGUGAAAGACCGGAUAAACAAAUAUUUUAUAAAAUUUGCCUUUUUUCUAAAACGGCGCGGGUACACGUCUGUGUUGACCGGAGCGAGUGGUGGUCACCGCGGGGCGGGGCGGGACUUAAUGACGUGCCACGCAAUGUGAUCAGCAUUAAAAAAUAUAGCCAAAUAAGUGAGAUAUUUGAUUUGUACGUUCUUACCCCUCCGCCGAUCUUACCCCAACGCACCUUAAUGUAUGACAAUGUUAUGACAAGCUUUUUUAUAUAGUUACCUAUGUUUUAUAACCAAAUAAUAGGUUAGAUUUACUUCAAAGUGUAUUUUUCUACUGUUAUUAGUGCAUUUAAUUAAACGCUUCUUUC